GAUGAACGCUGGCGGCGUGCCUAAUACAUGCAAGUCGAGCGAACAGAUAAGGAGCUUGCUCCUUUGACGUUAGCGGCGGACGGGUGAGUAACACGUGGGUAACCUACCUAUAAGACUGGAAUAACUCCGGGAAACCGGGGCUAAUGCCGGAUAACAUUUAGAACCGCAUGGUUCUAAAGUGAAAGAUGGUUUUGCUAUCACUUAUAGAUGGACCCGCGCCGUAUUAGCUAGUUGGUAAGGUAACGGCUUACCAAGGCAACGAUACGUAGCCGACCUGAGAGGGUGAUCGGCCAAACUGGAACUGAGCCACGGUCCAGACUCCUACGGGAGGCAGCAGUAGGGAAUCUUCCGCAAUGGGCGAAAGCCUGACGGAGCAACGCCGCGUGAGUGAUGAAGGUCUUCGGAUCGUAAAACUCUGUUAUUAGGGAAAAACAAAUGUGUAAGUAACUGUGCACGUCUUGACGGUACCUAAUCAGAAAGCCACGGCUAACUACGUG
Molecule: ribosomal RNA, 497 nt
Filed under: uncultured bacterium
Lineage: Bacteria
Description: partial 16S ribosomal RNA
Rfam family: Bacterial small subunit ribosomal RNA
Source: RNAcentral